GACGAACGCUGGCGGCGUGCUUAACACAUGCAAGUCGAACGGAAAGGCCUUGCUCUUGUGGGGGGCUCGAGUGGAGAACGGGAGAGUAAGACGUGAGUAACGUGCCCUUGACUGUGGGAUACCUUCAGGAAACCGGGGCUAAUAGCGGAUAGGAGCUACUGCUGCAUGGUGGGGGUUGGAAAGUGUCGGCGGUUGGGGAUGGACACGUGGCUUAUCAGCUUGUUGGUGGGGUAGUGGCCGAGCAAGGCUUUGACGGGUAGCCGGCCGGGCAGGGUGACCGUCCACCUUGGUAGUGAUAUGCCACCCAGACUCCUACGGGGGGCAGCAGUGGUGGAUAUUGCACAGUGGUCGGAGGCCUCCUGCCGCAGCGCCGCGGCCGGGAUGUCGGCCUUCGACUUGUAGUCCGCUGUCGCCUGUGACGAAGCGUGAGUGACGGUAAUGGGUAAAUAAGCACCGGCUAACUACGUG
RNAcentral lists this ribosomal RNA (468 nucleotides) under uncultured bacterium. RNAcentral describes it as "partial 16S ribosomal RNA". It matches the Rfam family "Bacterial small subunit ribosomal RNA", at positions 28 to 507 of the family's 1533-position model. The record is from RNAcentral.